GAGGACUGAAGUUUUAAAAGUUUCUCAGUACUUCUCUGUUAGUUUGAACUUUUUGGUUAACAGAAGCCUUAAAACUUGUGACCAUGAGUCUUGAUUUCACAUUUAGAUCAUCCAUCUGAGUUCUUCUCAGACCUUCACCUGUGGGUUUUUUUAGAAAUCCUCAACAAACUUUGAUUCUCUUCACUGAACAGUAAAGUUUGUGGAGAUCAGAAGACCAAAGAACUACAGACUCUUCACAACCUGCUCAAACUCUUGGUACAGGACCUCACCACACAGGUCAAGAAGGUUUCCAUCUCAUUUCUACUCUGAAGCUCACCUUCUCCUGCUCAAACUGCUGACAAAUGU
Molecule: long non-coding RNA, 345 nt
Organism: Amphiprion ocellaris (clown anemonefish)
Lineage: Eukaryota; Metazoa; Chordata; Actinopteri; Pomacentridae
Source: Ensembl